UACGUAGGGGGCAAGCGUUGUCCGGAAUCAUUGGGCGUAAAGCGCGUGUAGGCGGCUGGCUAAGUCCGCUCUGAAAGCCCGGGGCUCAACCCCGGGAGGCGGGUGGAUACUGGUCAGCUCGAGUCCGGAAGAGGAGUGUGGAAUUCCUGGUGUAGCGGUGAAAUGCGCAGAUAUCAGGAGGAACACCAAUUGCGAAGGCAGCUCGCUGGGACGUUACUGACGCUGAGACGCGAAAGCGUGGGGAGCAAACAGG
This 253-nucleotide ribosomal RNA is filed under the name uncultured bacterium. RNAcentral describes it as "partial 16S ribosomal RNA". It matches the Rfam family "Bacterial small subunit ribosomal RNA", at positions 524 to 776 of the family's 1533-position model. The record is from RNAcentral.